GGCGGCGUGCCUAAUACAUGCAAGUCGAACGAGUUCUCGUUGAUGAUCGGUGCUUGCACCGAGAUUCAACAUGGAACGAGUGGCGGACGGGUGAGUAACACGUGGGUAACCUGCCCUUAAGUGGGGGAUAACAUUUGGAAACAGAUGCUAAUACCGCAUAGAUCCAAGAACCGCAUGGUUCUUGGCUGAAAGAUGGCGUAAGCUAUCGCUUUUGGAUGGACCCGCGGCGUAUUAGCUAGUUGGUGAGGUAAUGGCUCACCAAGGCGAUGAUACGUAGCCGAACUGAGAGGUUGAUCGGCCACAUUGGGACUGAGACACGGCCCAAACUCCUACGGGAGGCAGCAGUAGGGAAUCUUCCACAAUGGACGCAAGUCUGAUGGAGCAACGCCGCGUGAGUGAAGAAGGCUUUCGGGUCGUAAAACUCUGUUGUUGGAGAAGAAUGGUCGGCAGAGUAACUGUUGUCGGCGUGACGGUAUCCAACCAGAAAGCCACGGCUAACUACGUGCCAGCAGCCGCGGUAAUACGUAGGUGGCAAGCGUUAUCCGGAUUUAUUGGGCGUAAAGCGAGCGCAGGCGGUUUUUUAAGUCUGAUGUGAAAGCCCUCGGCUUAACCGAGGAAGCGCAUCGGAAACUGGGAAACUUGAGUGCAGAAGAGGACAGUGGAACUCCAUGUGUAGCGGUGAAAUGCGUAGAUAUAUGGAAGAACACCAGUGGCGAAGGCGGCUGUCUGGUCUGUAACUGACGCUGAGGCUCGAAAGCAUGGGUAGCGAACAGGAUUAGAUACCCUGGUAGUCCAUGCCGUAAACGAUGAAUGCUAGGUGUUGGAGGGUUUCCGCCCUUCAGUGCCGCAGCUAACGCAUUAAGCAUUCCGCCUGGGGAGUACGACCGCAAGGUUGAAACUCAAAGGAAUUGACGGGGGCCCGCACAAGCGGUGGAGCAUGUGGUUUAAUUCGAAGCAACGCGAAGAACCUUACCAGGUCUUGACAUCUUUUGAUCACCUGAGAGAUCAGGUUUCCCCUUCGGGGGCAAAAUGACAGGUGGUGCAUGGUUGUCGUCAGCUCGUGUCGUGAGAUGUUGGGUUAAGUCCCGCAACGAGCGCAACCCUUAUGACUAGUUGCCAGCAUUUAGUUGGGCACUCUAGUAAGACUGCCGGUGACAAACCGGAGGAAGGUGGGGAUGACGUCAAAUCAUCAUGCCCCUUAUGACCUGGGCUACACACGUGCUACAAUGGAUGGUACAACGAGUUGCGAGACCGCGAGGUCAAGCUAAUCUCUUAAAGCCAUUCUCAGUUCGGACUGUAGGCUGCAACUCGCCUACACGAAGUCGGAAUCGCUAGUAAUCGCGGAUCAGCACGCCGCGGUGAAUACGUUCCCGGGCCUUGUACACACCGCCCGUCACACCAUGAGAGUUUGUAACACCCGAAGCCGGUGGCGUAACCCUUUUAGGGAGCGAGCCGUCUAAGGUGGGAC
This 1468-nucleotide ribosomal RNA is filed under the name Lacticaseibacillus casei. RNAcentral's name for it is "bacterial SSU rRNA". It matches the Rfam family "Bacterial small subunit ribosomal RNA". The record is from RNAcentral. Lineage: Bacteria; Bacillati; Bacillota; Bacilli; Lactobacillales; Lactobacillaceae.